Molecule: ribosomal RNA, 468 nt
Filed under: uncultured bacterium
Lineage: Bacteria
Description: partial 16S ribosomal RNA
Rfam family: Bacterial small subunit ribosomal RNA
Source: RNAcentral
GACGAACGCUGGCGGCGGGCUUAACACAUGCAAGUCGAACGGAAAGGCCCUGCUUUUGUGGGGUGCUCGAGUGGCGAACGGGGGAGUAACACGUGAGUAACCUGCCCUUGACUUUGGGAUAACUUCAGGAAACUGGGGCUAAUACCGGAUAGGAGAUCCUGCUGCGGGGAGGGGGGUGGAAAGUUUCGGCGGGUGGGGAUGGACUCGCGGCUUAUCAGCUUGUUGGUGGGGGAGUGGCUUACCAAGGCUUUGACGGGUAGCCGGCCUGAGAGGGUGACCGGCCACAUUGGGACUGAGAUACGGCCCAGACUCCUACGGGAGGCAGCAGGGGGGAAUAUUGCACAAUGGGCGGAAGCCUGAUGCAGCAACGCCGCGUGCGGGAUGACGGCCUUCGGGUUGUAAACCGCUUUCGCCUGUGACGAAGCGGGAGUGACGGUAAUGGGUAAAGAAGCACCGGCUAACUACGUG